AUUUGUAGCAUGCGUAUCGAGAUGGUCAGUUGGAGGAAGUGGCGUUGCAUCGUCUCGGAGAAGAUGGGCAGACCAUCAUAACUAAAAAUAUUAGGUUGUCAGACAUUCUUAGUGACUAUGCACAUUAGGUGAAUGUUCACAACAUUUACUAGAGCGUGAGUUCCUCCUUUAGUCUGUUUAUUGUUUUAGGUAGACGACUAUGAUAUCUAAAUAAUGCAAGGACCUAUAUGCAGCUUUCUUCAGUUUUUACUGUUGCUCUCCAUAUCAAAAGGAUUGUUGAUGAGAGAAACCAAGCUUGGAAUCAUUGGGGUGUGCGGGGCUAUGCAAUAUAAAAGUGCAAUCUUAUAAUCAUGGAUGGAUAAAUAUAAUAUAUGUUGAAAGGCAAGGAAUGGGAAUGGAAUG
Long non-coding RNA from Hibiscus syriacus, 402 nucleotides. RefSeq lists it as uncharacterized. The transcript has 4 exons. The record is from RefSeq and is a predicted model, not a curated record. Lineage: Eukaryota; Viridiplantae; Streptophyta; Magnoliopsida; Malvales; Malvaceae.